This 65-nucleotide transfer RNA is filed under the name Dermacentor albipictus. Its description in RNAcentral is "tRNA-His". Lineage: Eukaryota; Metazoa; Arthropoda; Arachnida; Ixodida; Ixodidae. The record is from RNAcentral.
GUUUAAUUAGUUUAACUUAUUAAAAUAAUAAAUUGUGGAUUUAUAGAUGAGUAAUUCAUUAAACA